Molecule: unclassified non-coding RNA, 220 nt
Filed under: plant metagenome
Description: partial contains small subunit ribosomal RNA and internal transcribed spacer 1
Rfam family: Eukaryotic small subunit ribosomal RNA (bases 1-46)
Source: RNAcentral
AAGUCGUAACAAGGUUUCCGCAGGUGAACCUGCGGAAGGAUCAUUACCUUUUCUGGCUAUUUAAUAGCUUGUCGGGGGGGCUAUAGUCUCUAUAGCCUCUGACUGAAUCUGUGGUUUUUUACGUACUACUAUGUUUCCGUCGGGCGGCUUGCUCGCCGGUUGGACAACCUAAAACUCUUUGCAAUUGCAAUCAGCGUCUGAAUUAUUUAAUAAUUACAAC